Molecule: small nuclear RNA, 103 nt
Organism: Dermacentor andersoni
Lineage: Eukaryota; Metazoa; Arthropoda; Arachnida; Ixodida; Ixodidae
Source: RefSeq, a predicted model, not a curated record
GUACUUCCAAAGUACAUAUACUAAAAUUGGAACGAUACAGAGAAGAUUAGCAUGGCCCCUGCGCAGUGAAUUUAUAUUGAUACAAAUACAGCGCAGCACUUAU